AUUCAGACAUGUAAUCUUUUUUAAUUACACUGGUGAAUCUUAAAAAGCGUGCUUUAAAACGUGUCACUGGAUUUUUUUUCCUUCUCUAUUAUUACUCUAAUAAGGCAUUUUGCUAAUGCUAAAUCUUUAUGAAUUUUCAGCAUAUUGUGGGUAAAUAAUAUUUUUUUACUUACCAUAUUUUACUAGUAUUAUGCCAAGUCAGUUUGCAUGCAUUCUUUUCAGUAGUUCUUGAAUAAAUAAAUGUAUUUAUAAAUAUCUUUAGAAAGUUAACACAUUCGUUAUGCUUAAUAUAAUUCUUCUACUUUUAACAUGUUCUUACAAAGGACAAGAAUCCUCACCCAUAAUUUGCUGAUUCUGCUUUGUAAACAUUGGUUUCAAAUCAACUCUGCUUCAUUUCAUCAGACUUCUUCUAAAUAGCUAAUCAACCAGAAUCUUACCUUUGUAACCCUUGGCUUUCUACAAUGUCACUUGUAUUAACCAGCUAUAUGGAUUUUUGAGAAACUUAUUUCUUUUUGGAAUCAGAUGAUAUAUAUGAUAAAAUUCAAAUAAUUUUCUUUAAAGCUCCUGAAACAAGGAAGAAAGUUGUGACAGCAAAACCUGUUGAGGCUCCACAAUUGGAACCCCCACCUGCUAAAGUUCCUGGACUUGUAAAGAAACCUCGUAGAAUAAUUCCUGAAGUUACUCCUCCACCGAAAGAAGAAGUUGUUUUGAAAAGAGGUACAGUAACAAUAUAAAACAGUAUAAAACCCCAGCAUACUAACAUUGUUCAGUGUGUUCUCCUAAGUAAUGUUGCUUUAUGUGGUGUAGAAAAUUACAUGAAUAGUGUACUACCUGAUGGGUGUGUAUCGUGGAAAGAGUUUAUAACUGAAGAGAUAAAGCAAGGGCAUAUCAAAAAUUAGUUAAGUCCAAAGGAAC
This 915-nucleotide long non-coding RNA is filed under the name Meleagris gallopavo (turkey). RNAcentral describes it as "lncRNA (ENSMGAG00000019630.1)". Lineage: Eukaryota; Metazoa; Chordata; Aves; Galliformes; Phasianidae. The record is from RNAcentral.